RNAcentral lists this ribosomal RNA (429 nucleotides) under uncultured Suttonella sp. Its description in RNAcentral is "bacterial SSU rRNA". It matches the Rfam family "Bacterial small subunit ribosomal RNA", at positions 771 to 1201 of the family's 1533-position model. Lineage: Bacteria; Pseudomonadati; Pseudomonadota; Gammaproteobacteria; Cardiobacteriales; Cardiobacteriaceae. The record is from RNAcentral.
AACAGGAUUAGAUACCCGGUAGUCCACGCCCUAAACGAUGUCAACUAGGUGUUGGGGACCUUGAGUUCUCGGUACCGGAGCUAACGCAUUAAGUUGACCGCCUGGGGAGUACGGCCGCAAGGUUGAAACUCAAAGAAAUUGACGGGGACCCGCACAAGCGGUGGAGCAUGUGGUUUAAUUCGAUGCAACGCGAAGAACCUUACCAGGCCUUGACAUCCAGAGAACAAAGCAGAGAUGCAUUGGUGCCUUCGGGAACUCUGAGACAGGUGUUGCAUGGCUGUCGUCAGCUCGUGUCGUGAGAUGUUGGGUUAAGUCCCGCAACGAGCGCAACCCUUAUCCUUACUUGCCAGCACUUCGGGUGGGAACUUUAAGGAGACUGCCGGUGACAAACCGGAGGAAGGUGGGGAUGACGUCAAGUCAUCAUGGNNC